GAGGGCAUAGCUCAGUGGUAGAGCACAUGCUUAGCGUGCACGAGGUCCUGGGUUCAAUCCCCAGUACCUCCA
This 72-nucleotide transfer RNA is filed under the name Camelus bactrianus (Bactrian camel). It matches the Rfam family "tRNA". Rfam says of the family: Transfer RNA (tRNA) molecules are approximately 80 nucleotides in length. The record is from Rfam by way of RNAcentral. Lineage: Eukaryota; Metazoa; Chordata; Mammalia; Artiodactyla; Camelidae. RNAcentral also lists the same sequence under 2 other names.